This 441-nucleotide ribosomal RNA is filed under the name uncultured bacterium. RNAcentral describes it as "partial 16S ribosomal RNA". It matches the Rfam family "Bacterial small subunit ribosomal RNA", at positions 338 to 795 of the family's 1533-position model. The record is from RNAcentral.
CCUACGGGGUGGCUGCAGUGGGGAAUAUUGCACAAUGGGGGAAACCCUGAUGCAGCGACGCCGCGUGAAGGAAGAAGUAUUUCGGUAUGUAAACUUCUAUCAUCAGGGAAGAAAAUGACGGUACCUGCCUAAGAUGCCUCGGCUAACUACGUGCCAGCAGCCGCGGUAAUACGUAGGGGGCAAGCUGUAUCCGGAUUUACUGGGUGUAAAGGGAGCGUAGGCGGUGCAGCAAGUCAGAAGUGAAAGCCCGGGGCUCAACUCCGGGACUGCUUUUGAAACUGUUGGACUAGAUUGCAGGAGAGGUAAGUGGAAUGCGUGGUGGAGCGGUGAAAUGCGUAGAUAUUAGGAGGAACACCAGUGGCGAAGGCGGCUUACUGGACUGUAAAUGACGCUGAGGCACGAAAGCGUGGGGAGCAAACAGGAUUAGAUACCCUGGUAGUC